AGAAAGCGGGGAGGGCAGUGGAAGAAUGGAGCCGCCCAGAGAGCAUCUUCAGAUGGGCCAGCUUGCCUGGGAUUCUGCAGAGGCUGGACAGGAUUCCCUGCCAUGUUCAUCUAAAUAUGGGCAAUCUAGGGCUACAUUCAUAGUCAGAACCUGUCUCAGAACAAUAGCUGCUGCUCAUGGACCUUUAAUCUCAGCACAGUGGACUGGACGUGUAUUGUGGAUCGGAGCUGACAGUAAGCAGUCCAGCCCAUCGCCUAGCAUGGUCGCUUCAGUCUCCAACUAGUGGUCUGAAUUAGCCCCUCCUGUCUCUGCAGUCCACAGCCGGCUGAAGCAUCGACCUGGCCAGCUUGGACGCCCAGACAACAUCGCUUGCUGAUAUUUCUUAAAUCUUUCUUGAUUCCUGUCUACGAUGUUCAUAUACUUUAUCUCUACCCCAACCCCACACAUCUUUAUUUCAACUUUUUGUUUUUGUUGUUUAAUCUACUGGGCUUUUAGAGAAAGGUUUCUAAAGAAACAAUGAGACUUUCAUCAGAA
Molecule: long non-coding RNA, 534 nt
Organism: Mesocricetus auratus (golden hamster)
Lineage: Eukaryota; Metazoa; Chordata; Mammalia; Rodentia; Cricetidae
Exons: 2
Source: RefSeq, a predicted model, not a curated record